Molecule: small RNA, 575 nt
Filed under: Pongo abelii (Sumatran orangutan)
Lineage: Eukaryota; Metazoa; Chordata; Mammalia; Primates; Hominidae
Description: processed transcript
Source: RNAcentral
GGUAUCAUGUAUGCCUCACAUGAGAAGGAGGGACAGCCAAGAUAGAAACAGCUGUGACUUCGACCCCAUCUGCUUCUGGGCAGUUCAGCAAGCCUUUCUCAUUUUCUCCAUCAGGGACUGGCUUUAAUUUUGGGAUAAUCACACCAACACCGUCUUCUAAUUUCACUGCUGCACAAGGGGCAACACCCUCCACUAAAGAGUCAAGCCAGCUGGAUGCAUUCUCAUUUGGUGGGGGAAGCAAACCUUCUUAUGAGGCCAUUCCUGAAAGCUCACCUCCCUCAGGAAUCACAUCCGCAUCAAACACCACCCCAGGAGAACCUGCCACAUCUAGCAGCAGACCUGUGGCACCUUCUGGAACUGCUCUUUCCACUACCUCUAGUAAGCUGGAAACCCCACCGUCCAAGCUGGGAGAGCUUCUGUUUCCAAGUUCUUUGGCUGGAGAGACUCUGGGAAGUUUUUCAGGACUGCGUGUUGGCCAAGCAGAUGAUUCUACAAAGCCAACCAAUAAGGCUUCAUCCACAAGCCUAACUAGUACCCAGCCAACCAAGACGUCAGGCGUGCCCUCAGGGUUUAAU